Molecule: ribosomal RNA, 253 nt
Filed under: uncultured bacterium
Lineage: Bacteria
Description: partial 16S ribosomal RNA
Rfam family: Bacterial small subunit ribosomal RNA
Source: RNAcentral
UACGAAGGGGGCUAGCGUUGUUCGGAAUCACUGGGCGUAAAGCGCACGUAGGCGGCUUGUUAAGUCAGAGGUGAAAGCCUGGAGUUCAACUCCAGAACUGCCUUUGAUACUGGCAAGCUCGAGUAUGGCAGAGGUUGGUGGAACUCCGAGUGUAGAGGUGAAAUUCGUAGCUAUACGGAAGAACACCAGUGGCGAAGGCGGCCAACUGGGCAAGUACUGACGGUGAGUUGCGAAGUCGUGGUGAGCAAACAGG